UCCUCCUCUUCUCUCCCCUUCCAGAAAAUGCCGCACGGUGUUGUUAUGUCAAAUCCACGGAUAUUCCCAGGGGACAGGAUUUUAGAGACGGGAGAAAUUAUUCCACCCCUGAAAGAAGAACCCGAUGAGCACCACUGAUGGCUAAAGGCUGAUUUCCUCCUUCAGCGAACAAGGCGAGCACUGCAGCUGCUUUAUCUCUUCUAUAAAAGAGUCUUUAUUCCGCAUUGCCUCAGCUUUUCUGUCAUUUACUUUCUCCUUAGCCCAAUUUCUUCAGUUGCUCCUC
Pygoscelis adeliae (Adelie penguin) is the source of this 283-nucleotide long non-coding RNA. RefSeq lists it as uncharacterized. Lineage: Eukaryota; Metazoa; Chordata; Aves; Sphenisciformes; Spheniscidae. The transcript is spliced from 2 exons. The record is from RefSeq and is a predicted model, not a curated record.